Molecule: long non-coding RNA, 185 nt
Organism: Corvus hawaiiensis (hawaiian crow)
Lineage: Eukaryota; Metazoa; Chordata; Aves; Passeriformes; Corvidae
Exons: 3
Source: RefSeq, a predicted model, not a curated record
CAGAGAGCCACGAUGGAGAAAAGCAGCCCCAGCCCGGGGUCGGAGCUGGGUGAACACGCACAGAUCUGAUCUCUAUCGCACCAGAGCUCCCAAGUUCACAGGUGCUGCUUCGGCUGGUUCCUUCUUAUACAGUUCCUGGGCAGAGUCCGAAUUAAUUCUAUUCUUCUCCUGAAGCUGGCUGCACA